ACUCCUACGGGAGGCAGCAGUGGGGAAUAUUGCACAAUGGGCGCAAGCCUGAUGCAGCCAUGCCGCGUGUAUGAAGAAGGCCUUCGGGUUGUAAAGUACUUUCAGCGGGGAGGAAGGCGAUAAGGUUAAUAACCUUGUUGAUUGACGUUACCCGCAGAAGAAGCACCGGCUAACUCCGUGCCAGCAGCCGCGGUAAUACGGAGGGUGCAAGCGUUAAUCGGAAUUACUGGGCGUAAAGCGCACGCAGGCGGUCUGUCAAGUCGGAUGUGAAAUCCCCGGGCUCAACCUGGGAACUGCAUUCGAAACUGGCAGGCUAGAGUCUUGUAGAGGGGGGUAGAAUUCCAGGUGGAGCGGUGAAAUGCGUAGAGAUCUGGAGGAAUACCGGUGGCGAAGGCGGCCCCCUGGACAAAGACUGACGCUCAGGUGCGAAAGCGUGGGGAGCAAACAGGAUUAGAAACCCCAGUAGUCCC
Molecule: ribosomal RNA, 470 nt
Filed under: uncultured organism
Description: partial 16S ribosomal RNA
Rfam family: Bacterial small subunit ribosomal RNA
Source: RNAcentral